AUAGUUCACAUAAAAACAAAAAACACAAAACAAUCCUCUGACAGAUUGUAUUUUCCCAAAAUGGCACAGCAAUAUUUCUGUUCUUACAUUCUCCUCUAGAACCUUGCCACUUCCCAUCUGGAGAUAGAAUCUCUUUCCCCUUUAUUUGAACAUAGGUGGGACUUGUGACUCCUCAACCAAUAGGAAAUAGUGGAAUGGAUGCAGUGUGCCUUCUGAGGUUGGGUCAUACAUGGUGACAUAGUUCCUUCUGGCUGCCUCUCAGGAUGUUCACCCUUGCAUUCAGCCACCAUGUGGAGAAGAAGCUCCAAGAGACCAUGGGGAGAAGCCUCUUGGAGAGGCCUGCCUGGAGGAGAAUUAAGAUCCCCAAUCAGUGUAAGCCACCAAAAGUAAUUCAGACUGUGAAGUAAAAUAACUGGUUAAACAAGGCACAAAUUCCUGCUCAACCCCUUCUUCAACCAUGGAAGACGUUGAUGAUUAAACACAUCGUUGAACAUCACACUGGUGCUCCUAUUGCCUCUUAAUAGCAAGGUGUGGGCAGUUAUCAAUCAGAGAUGGCAUGCAAAUCACAACCAUUUCUCAAUCCUAACUUCGGAAAAAAAUCUUUAAUUCUUUUAGCAUUAUAUUAAAGCCUUUUGUCAUCUGUCCCCAAACUAACUUUCCAGUCUUAUGUUCUAUCAGACUCCCCCUCGAAACCCACAUACUAAAAUUAAGACAUAGCUACAUGUUUAGAGAUUGUCAAAUAAUUACUGUCUAGCAAUCUUCUAAUUUAGAACCUUUUUUUUUUUUUGAAACAUCAUCUAUGUUUUUUUUUUUUCAGAGAAGAUAUAUACAACCUUCGGUGGAGUUCAAAUGCCACUCCACCUAUAGCUACUUCCUCAGUUUGAAUUGAUUUCUCUUUUUAUUUUUAUUUCAUAGAACUUUCAUUAAUUUUUAGACUGUAUUGUAAAACUUAACUGAUUUUACCUAUUUGUCUGUCUUUCUUGUGCAUUAUAAUUUACUCAAGGAAACAAUUAUAUUUUACUCAUUGUUCACCCCCGUGGCACCUGGUACAAACUUUACAUAUUUUAUCAAAUCAAAUUAAAUUGAUUUAAAAAAUAAUUGAUUUUAGAUGUUAUUUGGACUUUCCCAAUAUCCCCAUAAGAUAUGCUAUUCUACUCUUGUCUUGACUAAUUUUGUGUUUUUUGACUUAUACACAAAACCAACUAUGGUAUUAUUUGACUAAAAGGUAUACCAAGCAUAGACUUAUAAUUAAAUUGUAAGAAAUUAGUAGAGAUAUUCAAGAUUUCUAGAUUAAAAGUUAAAGUUUGCUCAACUGGGCCUGUCACUUUUGGUAUUCAUAACACGCACACCCCAACACAAAUUAAAAUUAACUAUAUGUAGAAAAACUUUUCAAAAUGCAUUCUAAAGAGCAAAGAAAUUGCUCUGAUUUGUUCUGUUAGUACUUAGAUUUAUUUUGGUUUAGAUUUCAGAAACUUCAUUUAAAGCUUUUAUAGAAUCAUUAAGCUCCAAGAAUUGCCUGUAUUGAAUUUUCUUAGUAAAUCUGUGCUCACUUGGCCCUUUAUUUUCCUCUGAGUGGUAUGUCCCUUAUAUGUUCUGAGAUCUAAGGCAAACCAAAUUUCUCAAAGACUUAAUUUCUUUGUAUACAAGUUAGGAGGAAUAAUAAUUCCUACCAACGUAGCUACUUAUCCUAAAGAGCUGUUGUGGAGAUCAAAGAGACAGUCACACACACACAUACACACACACUUUCAAAAGUAUACUCUUAAAUAAUAUUGUGCUCAAUGGUAUGACUCAGAGGCACUUCAAAUUCUAAUUCUUAACAGGAGUUUUGAUCUAACUGAAGCCAUCAUUAAGCCAAGAAAUUUUCAGAGAUUAUUACAGCUGGCCACAGGGAUAGGAGCAGUGUACCAAAUAAAACAAUUCUUAAUCACUUAGGUAAAAAGAUCUUUGGAAAACAAUUAGAAAUGCUGCCAAAUUGCAUGCUACUAGACUGAUAUUUUGUGGAUCAUAAAUUCUCUUAGAAGGCUUUAGGCAAACUUAAUUCAAUUAAAAAACCCCUUCUCUACUAAGAUUAGUUGAUACUUUAAUUGGGUAGACACAAAAUAAAAAGUUUGCUUUCAUUAGAUUUAUUAAAUUAUUUCCUGAAAUAUUUCUCCCCUCUGACAUCUUAAAAAGAAGCCUUGUGCUGAGGGUUUAACACCUCCAAGGAGACUGGACAAAUCUUUACACUACUAGAGUUUCAAAGUACCAGCUUUUCGUCACUUUGCUCAGCACUUUCUUUUCGUUUCAAAACAUUAUCUCCAAUUGUGCUGAAGAUGUCCAUUUGCUCUUGCAAAUAACCUGAACUUGUUUAUUUAGCCAAUUCAGGGGAAAAUAUGCAGCCUGGACAAGGGUAGAGGAAGCAGAGAUGAGUGAAAGUGAAAUUAUGUGAGACAUAUUUGGGAGAUAAAAAUCAAUACUACUUGGAGUUGGAUUCAAAAUAGCAGAGAGAGAUGUUAAGGACAACUUUCAGAUGUCUAGCUGAUGCAACGGGAAGAGUGAUGAUGGUCGUUUACUGAAUUGGAAAACAGGAAGCUUACCAAGUUUGAGGGUAGACCAGCAUCAAGAGAUAUAACGAGUUUAUUUUAGAAUAUUUUCUUUAUAUGUAGCCCAAAGUAUCUAAAUUCCACAGUUGAAAAAUCAUUCAUAUAUAUUAAAAUUAUUAUUUCUCUUUUUUUCCUAAUAUGAUUCUUUCUGAAAAGUGAAAGUACCAUAGGGUGAUCUUACUAUCUUAGAAUGUAGGGAUGAAUUUAUCAAAUUGUUAUCCUAUGGAAUAAGAGUAUACAGGGCUUAUGAGAAAUAUGAGAAAGACAAUAGAGUGGAGAGAAGGUAGCCAAAGGAAAAAAAUCUGCUUAUUUCUUAAAAUUGACCAAGUUUGAUUCUAGUGAAGCUGUUAGAGUUGGGUAACUCACAUUUCUUAAAGUUGGACUCAUUAUGUUGUAAACUUUUUUCAUAAAUUUAACAGCUUUUCAAGGUGUGUGAUUAAAAAGACUUUACCUUAGAUUUCCUCUCUCGUCUGCAUACCAUAAAUUUUCUUCUUCACUAUGUUCAAACAAUCAAGCGGAGCUAGUCAUUAGCAAAUUAACUGAGACUUCUAAAGUGUGUAUUUCAAGCUCAUGCUCAUGAUUUUGAAUGAGGACCAAUUAUGUUCUCACAUCUGUCACUCACAUCAUCAGCUGUGGAAUGUCAAGACCCACUUGCACAUGCUGUAUAUAUAUGAGAGCAGAGGUUCAGGGGUGAACUAUUCAUCUUGGCUAAAUGCUGCUGUCAAUAUCCAUUGAUACCUUUCAACUGUUUUCUUUAUUCUUGGUAGAAGCUCAUUUGUUGUUUUUCAUAUAUUUCAAGAAAAUUCUUUUCUACAUUAGAGGAUUUUUCAUUCCUGAAUUUAGAUUUUAAAGAGUUUGUUUAUUUGAGGGGGGCAGGUAAGUUAAGAUAUCUUAAUCCUGAUGUGAAACAUAUAUGCACAAAAGUACUUUAAGAAAACAUAAAUGUAUAAGGGGUAAUGAGAUGAGUAAGACUUGUAUAUGAAUCAUCCUAAGACAGACAUAAUUAAAAUGAUAACUGAGUUAAUAAAAGUGAACAUUUUAGUCAUGUAAAAAUAUCACUAAUUAAAUUGAAAACUACAAACAUAUUUAAAAACACACAGAAAUGUUUUCAUUAUUACACAAAAUCACUUUUUCUCUCCCAUACAACAUUAAGA
Equus caballus (horse) is the source of this 3736-nucleotide long non-coding RNA. Lineage: Eukaryota; Metazoa; Chordata; Mammalia; Perissodactyla; Equidae. The record is from Ensembl.